GGAUGUGAGGGCGAUCUGGCUGCGACAUCUGUCACCCCAUUGAUCGCCAGGGUUGAUUCGGCUGAUCUGGCUGGCUAGGCGGGUGUCCCCUUCCUCCCUCACCGCUCCAUGUGCGUCCCUCCCGAAGCUGCGCGCUCGGUCGAAGAGGACGACCAUCCCCGAUAGAGGAGGACCGUUCUUCGGUCAAGGGUAUACGAGUAGCUGCGCUCCCCUGCUAGAACCUCCAAACAAGCUCUCAAAAAAUGGCUGGGAGCAUGGCUCAAUGAUACAAUACUUGCCUAGAGAGCACAAGGCUCUGAGUUCAA
RNAcentral lists this small nuclear RNA (305 nucleotides) under Castor canadensis (American beaver). Its description in RNAcentral is "7SK RNA (ENSCCNG00000014958.1)". It matches the Rfam family "7SK RNA". Rfam says of the family: 7SK was discovered as an abundant small nuclear RNA in the mid-70s but a possible function has only recently been suggested. The record is from Rfam by way of RNAcentral. Lineage: Eukaryota; Metazoa; Chordata; Mammalia; Rodentia; Castoridae.